Long non-coding RNA from Mastomys coucha (southern multimammate mouse), 332 nucleotides. RefSeq lists it as uncharacterized. NCBI's taxonomy places the organism in Eukaryota, Metazoa, Chordata, Mammalia, Rodentia, Muridae. The record is from RefSeq and is a predicted model, not a curated record. The transcript has 2 exons.
CUCAGGAGGAGGGGCUGCGUCUGUGGGCGGAGCCCCACGAUGGGCAGUGCCGGCCUAAGUUCCCGGCUCCGCCUCCGGAGGGAGGCUGCGGAAGGGCCGACCGGAAGUGCUUCCGCCUCCGCCCGCCUCCGGGUUCCCUGUCGCGUCUCCGUCGGCCCGGCGUGCGAGGUCAUGCCCCGGAAGUAGAGGGGCCAUGUUGACGGGUGACCCCGAGAGUGGUACUGGGCGAGUGGCGAGUCCUGAGGAAAGGUAGCGCGUGGCCCGCGGCCCUCCGUUGGUUUUCUGCAUCUUUUGCAUCACGGAAGACGCUCAGGGCCAAAAGGGAGCUGCUC